UAGAGUUUGAUCAUGGCUCAGAUUGAACGCUGGCGGCAUGCUUUACACAUGCAAGUCGAACGGUAACAGGGUGCUUGUACCGCUGACGAGUGGCGAACGGGUGAGUAAUGCAUCGGAACGUACCCAGUCGUGGGGGAUAACGUAGCGAAGGUUACGCUAAUACCGCAUACGUCCUGAGGGAGAAAGCGGGGGACCGUAAGGCCUCGCGCGAUUGGAGCGGCCGAUGUCGGAUUAGCUAGUUGGUAGGGUAAAGGCCUACCAAGGCGACGAUCCGUAGCGGGUCUGAGAGGAUGAUCCGCCACACUGGGACUGAGACACGGCCCAGACUCCUACGGGAGGCAGCAGUGGGGAAUUUUGGACAAUGGGCGAAAGCCUGAUCCAGCCAUGCCGCGUGAGUGAAGAAGGCCUUCGGGUUGUAAAGCUCUUUCAGAUGGAAAGAAAACGUACAGGUUAAUACCUUGUGCGGAUGACGGUACCAUCAGAAGAAGCACCGGCUAACUACGUGCCAGCAGCCGCGGUAAU
Molecule: ribosomal RNA, 522 nt
Filed under: uncultured bacterium
Lineage: Bacteria
Description: bacterial SSU rRNA
Rfam family: Bacterial small subunit ribosomal RNA
Source: RNAcentral